CCCAAACCUUCUAUCCCUUCUCUAACAUUUCUAUCCCUUCUCUAACAUAUUCUUCUUCCACCCCUCCGGCGAUUCCGACGAUUCCAACCUAGCGGUAGCUUCCGGCGGCGGCGACGACAUUAACAUUGAGGAAGUGAUUUCGAGUUAAAAAGAUAUUCCGGAGCUAAAUUGAAUAAGUUAGAGCUUUAAAGUCCGAGUAAAAGUCCAAGGGAUUAAAUGGGGAUCGUGUUCGGAGGGUCGGGAGCCGAGUAUGGAUAUCAAAAAUCAAGAAAAUGAAACACUCUAGAAAUCUUGCACUACCGCACCGCAUGGGGCGGCGCGACACUAAAUUUUGAUGCUGUCUAUCAGAACUUACUCUCUGAACUUCCCCACAAGCGCCCCGCAUGGGGCGGCGCGAGGGGUGGCGCGCCUGUGUGAUUUUCUUAUAGUAUUUGUCCUGUUUCGGCUAGAAAAAGGUAAUUUCACCUGGGCCCACUCCUACAUGGUAUAAAUACAUCAAAAGCCGUUUUUGAAUGGACUUUUGACCUUGGAAGCUUUGGGAGAGCAUUGGAGACUACAAGACACAAGAUUUCAUCAUCUUUCCAUCAAUUCAAUACGGGAGUUUGGAUUGUAAAUUUAGAUUGAUGCUUUCUUAUUCUUCAAUUAUAAUUGUGAUGAUUACCUCUAUGAUUAUGCAGUAAUUUACCUUCAAGUUUGACGGAUAUGGUGUUUUGAUAAAUAUUUAUGAAUUUUAACUCUAGUUCUUGCUUGAA
Nicotiana tabacum (common tobacco) is the source of this 752-nucleotide long non-coding RNA. RefSeq lists it as uncharacterized. The record is from RefSeq and is a predicted model, not a curated record. NCBI's taxonomy places the organism in Eukaryota, Viridiplantae, Streptophyta, Magnoliopsida, Solanales, Solanaceae.